This 379-nucleotide long non-coding RNA is filed under the name Elaeis guineensis (African oil palm). Its description in RNAcentral is "long non-coding RNA (EGUI_LNC023229)". Lineage: Eukaryota; Viridiplantae; Streptophyta; Magnoliopsida; Arecales; Arecaceae. The record is from RNAcentral.
GCCACGAUCACAAUGAUAGAAGCAAUAUUUUAUCAGAUCAUGGUGAUGUUCUGACCUCAUUCUCAUCAACUGAAAUGCAGGUAACUCAGGCCCCACUUGCAAAAACACCUCACUCCAAGGGACAGUCAGGGGUGUGUAGUUGUCGUACUGCCCAGGCGGUGAUAGUCGUCGAGUCCUUCUCAGAGGACUUCGAGAUCGAUGACCUUGACUCCCAUUAUUUCACCUUUGAGGUGAGGAUCGGGAGCACAGGCGGCUUUUCUCUAUUCGCCUUGAAUGGCGCUCCUUGCUGGAUCCCGCCAUGACUAAAUCGAUAGGAGAAUCAUCGAUGAAGGCUUCUUUCAUGCGGGCAUAUUUUUCCAUACGGGCAAGCAUAUCCGGA